Molecule: ribosomal RNA, 405 nt
Filed under: uncultured bacterium
Lineage: Bacteria
Description: partial 16S ribosomal RNA
Rfam family: Bacterial small subunit ribosomal RNA
Source: RNAcentral
GACGAACGCUGGCGGCGUGCUUAACACAUGCAAGUCGAGCGGAGCGGCGAACGGGUGAGUAACGCGUGAGUAACUGCCCCCCUCUCUGGGAUAACAGUUGGCAACGGCUGCUAAUACCGGAUAGUGGGGGAUGACUCGCGUCCUAUCAGAUUGUUUGUGGGGUAGUGGCCUACCAAGGCGACGACGGGUAGCCGGCCUGAGAGGGCGACCGGCCACAUUGGGCUGAGGUACGGACCAGACGCCUACGGGGGGCAGCAGUGGGGAAUAUUGCGCAAUGGGGGAAAGCCUGAUGCAGCAGCGCCGCGUGCGGAAAGACGGCCUUCGGGGUGUGAACCGCUUUCAGCCAUGACGCGGUAGUGGCAGAAGAAGCACCGGCUAACUACGUGCCAGCAGCCGCGGUAAUUC